CUAGGAUUUCGGGCACCGGCGUUCAUUCGGUGUGGAGUUGCACCCGGACGGAGAAGAGUCGAGAAGAGUCACUCGUGGAACGCUGGGGAGAUUGUUCUCGGACCAACGGCGUGAGUACUACUGCUAACUGGCAAGCAUGUUUGGGGGUCGUUAAUGUGGACCACUUGGACGGCGUGAAGACCCUUGUCUUCAGACAGCUGUUUUGGCCGAGCCAUGAUGCACAUCAGACAAUGCUUCUCAUCAAGACAAUUCUUACCAGAUACCAGGCCGUUUUUGCGCUGAAAAUGAAGACGAAGACUUCACAAAGUGCUGAUCCAGGUGGCAGCAUAUUGCUACAGAUAGACCAUGGAGGCCCAGUUUUUUUCUGUGAAUACUCUAGUUUUUGACGGCGCUAGACGUCCAAUCUACUCAAAAUGAAUUGGAUGAAUGCAGCAUAGUGCGCUAACAUAGACAUUAUGAAGGUAAUUCAUACCCUUUUUCCGGGUUUGCCGAUAGGAUAGUAUCCCUCUGUGAAACUCCAUUGAAUUUAUAUGAACAAGGAAAAAACAUUCAAUUUCAAACGAUUUAAUGAAGAAUAAUAUUAUUUACGACAAGGCAAAAUUGUUUUUCUAAAAAUAUUCAUAUUUCUAAUUUAACUAUAAACAUUUCUAAAUUAGGUGGGAAUGGAAGCCAAGUAACGCUAAUAAUGCUGGCAACCUACUCUACCUGUGCGUAAAGCCUCACUUCGUUAUGCAUUUCUUUUUAAUACAGGGUAUCUGAGGGGUCUUACAAAGCUAAAAAAAUUCUUAAAUCCAAUCAUUUUAAUUGAACUUUAACUUAAAAUGUCUAAAACUGUCCUAAAAUCACAUAAAAGGUCUUAAAUACUACUGUAAAAGAUGUUGAAAAUCUAUUGACUUUACUUUUAUUGAGAACCCGCAUAAACUUUUUAACAUAAACAGUUUCGCUUUUAAGUGUUUCGAUUUUUGGGGAUGCUUUAACGUAACUGCAAAGCAGAACUAUCUGUGUACCUUUGUGUCAUUUUCAAUUAAUUAUAACCCUGGAUGUCCUAAACUGUAAGUAAAAAAAGUUGUGCGAGAGUUUAAGAGGCUCGCCAUUAGCAUUAGCCUAAUAAUAACGUGAAGGCAAAUGCUAUGCUACUGCUGCGAGUUACAUUAAAUGUGUGAUGAUCACUCAGCACAGACCUUUUGUAGGGAACCACGGACAGAAAGACUUGUAGUUCUUAAAAGAUAAAUGUUAGUAUGAGUUAUAAUAAUUUGAUAUUCAAACCCCUCUUAAUUUUUUUGUUUUUAUAAAAUUUGAAAAAUUAGUUUAACUGGUUGUUCGCCAUUGUUGUUGAAGACACAAUGCACUCUCGGCAGCGCUGCCGUGCUUCCGCAGUGUCACUCGUUAGUUACAUAAACAUGUCGUCGGUUCUGCCGUUUCAAUUUAAAACCCGAGCGGAAAAGUGACUGUCGAUAUUUCACAAAACGAUCAGCAAAAGCAAUUAAAUGAAGGUCUCCAGCGGGAUUCGAACUGUGUUUCGUGUUUGCGUAAACCACAAGACUAUACUUGUGCGUGACGUUAGAGUCACGAUUUUCCUUAUAUAGCAAUCGAAACCCACAUUCAUUGUCGGUCUGUGUGGUAAAAACUGAAAAGGAAACAACUGAAAAGAACGUGCAGCUGGCUUGACCACAGAAUAGCAAAAUGCAGCUCACUUCAGACAGCAGACAAACAACAAUAACAUAGGGAUUGCGUAAAAAGGUUUAUUGAAAACACGCGAAAAGGCAGACACAAAAAAGGGUCCGUGACAGUAGGUCAGGAUAAAUUUAAAAAAAAUAAAAUCAGAGGGAAAACCACAGUGAGAGGCAGACAAACGAAAAAAACAAGGCAAUGAUGCAACGAGCAACGAAAGGAUAUACAAACUGUCAAAUGGCAGCAAGUCAGUAUCUCGGCAAGCCGCCUAGGAUCGGUUUAAAGACAGUGCUGAUGAGCUGGAAUUGGAUGCAGGCACGACAUAGAGAACUCAUCCCAUACCUCGGUCAUAAAACAGUCUGACCAGAAGCAGACUGUAACAAAAUCAUGCCAGUCGUCAUACUAGCUUCAAUCAUGGCGCCCUCUGUAGGUCAAAACAUGUACAUUUAGAUUUUUAAAUCAUUGGCAAUAAUAUAUGUUUCUAAUAACAUAUUUUAGUAAAAGAGAACAAUAUUGGCUUAUUAGAGCCUACAAGUCUUUAUGUCCAAGGUUCCCUUUAAAGGCUAACAAAAUAUUUCAAAUUUUCUUCGGCCAAGAAACCUAAUCUUACCAUGUGUGCAAGCCUGGAGAUGACACACUGGUGAGUCUAAGCACGGAAACUAUAGUGCAUUUUCAUCUAAUCAUUGUCUAGUCAGGCAAAAACUGGCAUUCGUCUCACUAUGUUUUAGUCUCCCAAAACACGUUUUAAAUCGUCAUCGUCAUGACAGGCAGGAAGAAGGGUGUGUUUGGGAUUAUCGUCUGUGUGUGGAUUGGACAGGAGGAUUCGGGAGUUACUGUUGUCCGGGCAACAAGGGUCGUGGAUUUUGCCACCUCAGCGUCAAAGGGGCUCAUGGAGUCUUGUCAGUCGUGUUAUCAGUCGGAUAUCGGGUGUUCUCCUGUGUUCUUUGUGUUAGGACAGACUGUCCCGCCAUUUGUUGUGGACUGUCCGGGAGAACUGAUUGCUCAGUUAGUUUGUAUGACGCCCGCGGUGGGCUUCCGUGAUAAGAAGGCGUUGUUUAUCUCUUAUGCCCUAUAUUCUGCUUGUUUUCCUUAAACUGGGGGUCCCCAAACUACGGGCCCACCUCCACAUUUGUUCCAUCCCCCUGAACAGUUUUUUGUUUUUUUUUUUCCCAAUAGUGUUAUUUAUUUCCUGGCUUUUUUCUGUGAAGAACCCAGAGAGGGUUAUUUGGUUAUUAUCUAUUUAUUUAUUACUAUUUAUUAUUAUAUUACAUUACAUUACAUUACAUUAUAUUAUCUUAGGGCUGUCAAACGAUUACAAUUUUUAAUCGAGUUAAUUACAUCUUAAAAAUUAAUUAAUCGUAAUUAAUCGCAAUUCAAACUUAUCUAUAAAACCUAUCUAUAAAAUAUGCCAUAUUUUUCUGUAAAUUAUUGUUGGAAUGGAAAGAUAAGACACAAGAAGGAUAUAUACGUUCAACAUACGGUACAUAAGUACUGUAUUUGUUUAUUAUAACAAUAAAUCAACAAGAUGGCAAUAUCAUUAUUAACAUUCUCUUAAAGCGAUCCAUGGAUAGAAAGACUUGUAGUUCUUAAAAGAUAAGUGUUAUUACAAGUUAUAGAAAUUUUACAUUAAAACCCCCCUUAAUGUUUUCGUUUUAUUAAAAUUUGUAAAAAUUUCAAUCAAAAAAUAAACUAGCAGCUCGCCAUUGUUGAUGUCAAUAAUUACACCAUGCUCACUCCCCAAACCCAUGAAAUCAUUUGAACCCAAGCGCCAGCAAAGUGCGCCAAACACCAAAAAACAAGUAACAAGCGGACAUUACACUGCUGUCAUUUUAAUCUGUUUGAGCGGGGCAUGUGCGUUAAUUGCGUCAAAUAUUUUAACGUGAUUAAUUAAAAAAAUUAAUUACCGCCCGUUAACAUGAUAAUUUUUACAGCCCUACUAUAUUAUAUCACAGCUCCACAUUUGGUCCGGCCCCCUGAACAUUUUUUUUUUCCCAAUAGUGUUAUUUAUUUCCUGGCAUUUUUCUGUUAAGAACUCAGAGAGGGUUAUUUUUAUUAUUAUUAAUAAAUUAUUAUUUUCAUUAUUAUUAUUAAUAGUGUUAUUACUAGGGCUGCAGCUAUCGAAUAUUUUAGUAAUCGAGUAAUCGACUGAAAAUUCUGUCGAGUAAUCGGAUAAAACAAAUAUAUUUUUAGGUGAAGAGCAAUUAUAAAUAUACAUGAGAAAACAAGACAUUUCAUCUAAUCUUGAACCAUUUUCAGUCAGUCAAUGUCUUUAUUUUCGAUGUAUAUUGUUGAAAACAGCCAACAAUUGUAUCUCAGAUGUAACUAGAAUUAAAAAAAAAAGACUAAUUCACUGCUUUCACUCAAAAAACCUUUAGAUCUUAUUUAAAAAAAUAUAUAUUUAUAUAUAUACCUAAAAAUGCUGUUACGCGUGAUAACACACAUCACUUAAAAGUUAGGAUUUUUUUCCCCACGUUUCAAUUGAAUUUCUAUUUGUGACAAGCCAUUUUUAAGUUCUAGUUAAGUUUUAAGUUAGUCUAAACUGUAAGUCCUGAUAGGAUUUUGAGUUUUUGCAGUGUUCAAAAUAAAUGCAUGAUACAGGCUGUAUUGGAGCACAUUAGGGACCAGUGCUACUUGGUGUUUUAUCCAGCAAUGACUACUGAGCUAAAAUUGAUAGUUAGCAUUAUUGAGUUUUUAUUUUACACCCUCAUCACUCCACAUCGCUAUGUUAUGUUAAAGCCUGUAUGUAAGACACGUUAGCCACGCAUCGACAAUGGUCAUAAUUAAUAGAAACCUAGCCCUCCGCAGGGCUAACAUUACGUGAGCUAGUAACAGUAACGUUAAUCUUAUUUAUUAGUGCUUAGCGCUCUUUAUUAGCACUUAGCGUUCUACUGCUUUAAGAUGGCGGCUGUUUACUAACGCUGCCCAGACGCGGCCGAGUCUGUCAUUUCGCAUCUAGUUCAACAUACAUGUGAUCUCUAUGAGACUCAUCAGACGCUACCUGCUACCAACGUACCAUCGUGCGGGCUAGUAUUUAGCAACGUCGGUGUCGUUUGUAGCGGCUGUCGGCUGCAGUAAAUUUUUUUUUUUUUUUUUUUUUUUUUUUGCUUCUUCCUCUACGCACGUGACAUCAGCGCGUUGUCCCGCAUUAAAAGUAGUCCGAGCAAAACGUGAUGCUUAGAGCUGUCAAAAUAAGCGAUUAUUCGAGGUGAAUAAAAUUACUCGGAUCAGUUUUUAAACUCGAGUUGCUCGAGUAUUCGUUUCAGCUCUAGUUAUUAUUAUAUGAUAUGAUAUUUAUAUGAUAUUUAUGUUAUAUUAUAUUAUAUUAUAUACUUUUGUUCCGUGAAGAAUCCAGAAAGGGUUAUUUGAUUAUGGCUUUCUGAAAAACAAUAAAUUUUUACAUUUAGGCAGUCCUGCAAUCGUCACACUUUUUCUGUUACAAACCGACCCAGCCCCUCAUCAGAAAAGGGAAAAGUUAUGUGGCCCUCACAGGAAAAAGUUUGGGGACCCCUGCCUCAAACUAUGGUAUGAAUGCUAUUUAUUUUAUAUUGGGUGUGUUAGAGUAAUACAAACAGUUAAACAGUAAAUACGAGAAAUGAUACUAUUCCCUGAUUGAUUAUAUUAAGUGUGUCAGAAUAAUGCAAACAGUUAUACGGUGCCUUCGAGAAAAGGUACUACAGUGGUGAGAACAAGUAUUUGAUACACUGCCAAUGGGUUUUCCCAUUGACAGUGUAUCAAAUACUUGUUCUCCCCACUGUAUCUCCUUCACAGUUCACUAAAUUUUAUUGAUCAAGAGUCAGACAAACAAGAAUCGUAUUCAUGUUAAAUUGUACCUUUGGAAUUGAAAUUACUUUUGUUGGAUUAUGAAUCAGUGCACACAGUCACCGUUGAAAAAAUACUGAAGAUACUCUCCUAUCGCUAACCCGGAAAUCAUGCUGAAGUUGAGUGACAUCACUGUGAAUAGGGCUUAUUCUAAUGGAGGAUUUUGGUAGCAACCUGUUGGUAAAGUAUCAAGAUAUAUUGUCACACCCCUAAUCUAAGCUGACAUUCCAAGUGAACGCACGAGUCAUAACCCGCCGGUCCCCUGCGGACGAAGCCACAUCCUGUUCGGCUUCGCCGUCAACGCUUGCCUCGGAGAACAUUCAACGCUGUCGGUGAGUUUGGUAUGGAAGCAUAGAAACCAUCGACCGUUGACUGUGCCCCGAGGUUCGCCCCGACAACGUCAGCCGAGAGCGAAGAAUGAGCGGGCGCAUGCAAAUCCCCGAGCGCUUACCCCAAUCUACACAAGAGUCACACUGUGGUUCCGACCCGAAAGGUCACAAUCAACAUUCAUUGCUGUCGCUGGGUUGGACUGUGUAGAAAAGCUCACUGAACAAUGAGUGCAACUGUGGCCCAGAUCUCCCUUCACUUCAGUCUCGGCCAAUCAGCCCAACCGGAUGUGAAAAGCUGUGAUUUCUUUCUUUAUUUCCUUCUUGUUUUUCACUUCUAUAUUCUUCUGCCGGAGAGUCUCAGAGAGCAGGACAGAUAGCGACACAAAUAGACCGCUGGCUGCUCGCUUGUCCUCAUCCACCUCUCGUGUAAUUGGCGGUUCUGUGCGCAGCAAAGGGGAAGGAAGCCGAGUGAAUGUGUAAUCAUUUGGAGCCUCUUCUCCUUCAGAUGUUGCAUCCCUCUCUUUUUUGUUCGCCUAAUUAUAGAGCGCGCUCGCUUAACUCCAUGCUAACCGCCUGUCUUGUGUGGCAGUAAUGGACCAGAGGAACAAAUAAACGCUAGAAUUAGUCGAGUUUGGAAGACGGUCUUUCCGGUUUUUAACAGGGUUGUUUUGGAUCUUUUUUUGUGUGCUUGACUUUUGUCAAGCAUACAUUGUUUGUCUAUACGUUGUUUUGUUUUUUUUUCUUUUAGCUUAAAUGUUUUCACAGAGCACAGAGCUGCCAGUGUUAGUGCAACAUUUCUACCUGGGUUUUCUCAUUUUAACAUAUUGCCAGCUUGUUUUAGCGUAUAAACAUCUUGUUUUAACGUAUGGAUAACCUCGUUUUAACGUAUUGCUAACCUUGUUUUAACGUAUGGCUAACCUCGUUUUAACGUAUUGCUAACCUUGUUUUAACGUAUUGCUAACCUCGUUUUAACGUAGUGUUAAAUCGUUUUAACGUAGUGCUAAAUCGUUUUAACGUAGUGCUAACUUCGUUUUAACGUAGUGCUCACCUCGUUUUAACGUAGUGCUCACCUCGUUUUAACGUAGUGCCAACUUCGUUUUAACGUAGUGCUAACCUGGUUUUAUCGUAGAGCUAACCUCGUUUUAACGUAUUGCUAACUUCAUUUUAACGUGGUGCUUACAUCGUUUUAACGUGGUGCUAACAUCGUUUUAACGUAGUGCUAACAUCGUUUUAACGUAGUGCUAACCUCGUUUUAACGUAUUGCAAACCUCCUUUUAAUGUAUUGCUAACUUUGUUUUAACCUAGUGCUAACUUGGUUUUAACGUAGAGCUAACCACGUUUUGACGUAUUGCAAACUUUGUUUUAACGUAGUGCUAACCUUGUUUUACGUAGCGCUAACCUCGUUUUAACGUAUUGCAAACCUCAUUUUAACGUAGUGGUAAUCUCGUUUUAACGGAUUGCUAAUCUCGUUUUAACGUAGUGCUAACCUCGUUUAAAUGUAUUGCGAACUUCAUUUUAACAGAUUGCUAACCUCGUUUUAACAUAGUGAUAAUUUCGUUUUAGCCUAGUGCUAACCUGGUUUUAACGUAGUGCUAACCUUGUAUUAACAUAUUGCUAACUUUGUUUUAACGUAACGCUAACGUCUUUUUAACGUAGCACUAACCUAGUUUCAACGUAGCGCUGACCUUUUUUUAACGACGCGCUAACCUCAUUUUAACAUAUUGCUAACCUCGUUUUAACGUAUCGCUAACCUUGUGUUAACGUAGUGCUAACUUUAUUUUAACCUAUUGCUAACCUCGUUUUAUCGCAUUAACACCUCGGUUUAAUGUAUUGCGAACCUCGUUUUGACGUAUUGCUAACUUCGUUUUUAACACAUUGCUAACCUCGUUUUAACGUAGUGCUAACCUCGUUUUAACGUAGUGCUCACUUUGAUUUAACGUAUUGCUAACCUCGUUUAAACGUAUUAACAUAUUCUUUUAACAUAUUGCUAACCGCAUUUUAACGAAUUGCUAACCUUGCGAACCUAACCUAGCGAAAGCUAAAUGCUAACAACAUUACCUUUUCCAAUAGUUCAGGGUUUAGGAUAAGGCUGUUCGAUUAAUCAAUUUUGAACCGAAACUGACUUUUCUGGUUAAAACAAUGUUAAACAUGUUCAAAUCGGUACGUUCAACUUAAAUUUCCAUUCAUUCAUUCAUUUUCCAUGCCGCUUUCCCCCAAUUUUUUUUGAAAUACUUGUGUAAAAUUUUGUUAAAGCACAUCCUUGAAAGCUCAAUAAGAAAUGCGAAUUUUUGAAUCUGAAUACUGGACGAUUCCGUUUUUCAAGGCAAACUUACUCAUACUUGGAACCUUCAGCUGGCUCCGAAUUUUGUCCAGUGUCCAGUUCUUAGUUAUCAUCUUUUCUUUUCACGCUGUCAUUAUUUUAGUUUUGCUAGCGGCUAAUGCUACUGUAACUUCCAGGUGCACCUGACACGUCACUUAACAAAGUAAUUAGCGAACUGUUGCCACCUGCUGAUAAGGGAGAAUAUUACAUGAUUUCAAACCAUUGAACAGCACAUUUAUUGAUUCGUUUUUUGUUUUUUUUAAACUGAGUAAUUAGGUGAAAGUGGAUUAUUUCCUCCGGAAUACCAGACAGUAGAGGUUGAAAAAUACUGAGGUAAUGCAACAACAUUAGCAUAUUACGCAGAAACCAAUAAAAGCAUAGACAAGAACAGACAUGAAUUUAGUCCAACAUGAAUUGUAAAUCCCUUUAUGUUGUUGUGUUUACAGCAUUCUACUCCCUACCCUCAAUAAAAAUGCGCCCACAACCCAUUUUGGGCCUCUAAAAAGUUGGAGAAACCUCUUUUUAAACAAGCCUUUCCCUGCAAUGUAUUUGUUCUCUUUUGAAAUAAAGUCUAACCUACAACAAAUUGUGACUAUUUUUUAUUUGUACACGACUUCUCUAAUGGUAUGUGCCAUCAAACGAGCCAUAACGUCCACGGCCCUCUCUCGCCAGUCGCUCUGUAUUAUUCAUCAAAAAGCACUCUGUGCGCUGGUGCAGAAGAGUGGAGGUGAUGUAACCGUGGCUGAGAGCGUGCCUUCGGUCUGUCAUUUGGGAUGGAUCCGUGCGACAGGCGAAAAAUGUUUGUUCAGCUCUGACGGCGGGGCCAGUAGCCACGAGGACAGUGAUAAUGAUGGCGUGAUUUGACAUUAAUAACACCAUGUUUAGCUUCAACAACUUCGAGUUUUCGCCUCAGCUUGAAGAUGAUUAGGAGAAAUGCAAAAAAAUAUUGAUGGUAAAGCAAAUCUAAAUAGGUCACACGCACAUUUUCACAAGACGCCUCACGUGUGUCACCACAGCACCAUCUAAUGGUGAAGAUAGGUACAUCACAAAGCAAGAAAAUAAUUUGAGCAGCAGUAAAACACAGUUUAAAGUUAAAAUACAGGUCAUAACAUUGUAGAAGAUUAAAUGAAUUGCUCGAAUGACACUUAUUAAAUCUGUACAUGUUUGGCUAAAGUUAAGAAUUCUAAAGUUGCUUUAGAAAUUAACUUUUUAUAUUGACCACACUGUUUUUUUUCCCCACAGUAACUCUAAAUAUAAAGGGUACCACGGAUAGAAGGACAUGUAGUUCUUAAAAGAUGAUUAGAUAAAAGAUAAAAAAUGAAUUACGCCACAGUGAAAAAUUUGGCGUCUGUAAAAAAAGUCACGGAUAUCUACCUCAUAACUAUCACUUAAUUGAUUACGUCAUUUUCAAAGUAUCGGAAUCGGCAAAAAAAAUAUCGGACAUGCCUUUUUUAAAUAUAUAUACAGUAUAUUUUUUAAUUAAAUCGUUUUCUAAUUGUAUUUAACGUUACAGACAUAAUGUAUUACACUCUUCCAGAGUCUUUAGUUUAAGCUUAAGGUAGGGUUAUCAAAUUUAUCGCGUUAAUUGCGAGAAUGAAUAUUUUUUUACAUUUAUCACGUUACAAUAUUUAACGCAACUAAUGCAUGCGCUCCACGACCCACUCACGCAUUGUCGCGUUCAAUCUAUAAUAGUACCGUUUUACCCAUACAGUAUAUAGAGCUAAAGACAGCGUAAGAUGAGGAGAGAGAAUUUUGGCAGCCUUUGGAGAUUUUUUUAAAUGGCUACAGCCUUACAAUCCCUCUCCAAACGAUAAGAAUAAUCGUGGGAAGCAAUGUGGGGAAGAAAGGUAGAAGAUGAUCUUUUUCUUAACACCCUACUGUAUAUUAUUUCCCAACGCAGAAAGAUAUAUCAAUUGGUACCACGACGCACAGUCAUGGUUGCACUUCCCAUCAUGCAUUUGGGAAGUAGUUAAAUGGCUACAGUAUCAUUUACUGAAAGCUCAACAAAUGCACUAGAUGGCACUAUUUAGUCACAAUAUACAAAGUCACAUUUAUCAUUUAAGAAUUACAAGUCUUUUUAUCCGUGGAUCCCUCUCACAGAAAGAAUGUUAAUAAUGUAAAUGCCAUAUUGAGGAUUUAUUGUCAUAAUAAACAAAUACAGUACUUAUGUACUGUAUGUUGAAUGUAAAUAUUCGUCCGAGUUUUAUUCAUUUUUUUCUUAAUGCAUUGCCAAAAUGUAUAUGAUUGGGAAAAAUUAUCGGGAAUGAUUGGAAUUGAAUCGGGAGCAAAAAAAAGCAAUCGGAUCGGGAAAUAUCGGGAUCAGCAGAUACUCAAACUAAAACGAUCGGGAUCAGAUCGGGAGAAAAAAACAUGAUCGGAACAACCCUACUUAAUUGUUUUUUUUUUGUUUUUUGUUUUUUUUUUGUUACUGUUGUAUUUCCCCCGAUAUGUUGGAUGAUAAAUAAUUGAUCCAAACAAAGUAAAACUGAAAAAUAACAUUUAAAAGGGUAAAUAUAUGAAAAAGAACAUCUCGACCACUCCUUGUUGUCUGCGAUUUCUGCAUCACGACCCUUGUUAUAUCACCAUGUUUCACCCAUCAAAUCCCCCCAAAAAUCCGGCUGUGGCCAUGCACAGUUGUGUCUUGACACUCGGUGAUACAUGCUACAUGGAGUUUUUUGAUCAAAACAAGGUUAGUGCGCGGUA
This is a long non-coding RNA of Corythoichthys intestinalis (scribbled pipefish), 10842 nucleotides long. RefSeq lists it as uncharacterized. The transcript is spliced from 4 exons. NCBI's taxonomy places the organism in Eukaryota, Metazoa, Chordata, Actinopteri, Syngnathiformes, Syngnathidae. The record is from RefSeq and is a predicted model, not a curated record.